AGCAGCCGCGGUAAUUCCAGCUCCAAUAGCGUAUAUUAAAGUUGUUGCAGUUAAAAAGCUCGUAGUUGAAUUUCGGGGUUAGUAGGUGUCGAUGCUCUGUAGUGUACUGUCGUCUACUGAUUCCUCCUUCCUGAUGAACCGUAAUGCCAUUAAUUUGGUGUUGCGGGGAAUUUGGACUGUUACUUUGAAAAAUUAGAGUGUUUAAAGCAAGCUAACGCUUGAAUACAUUAGCAUGGAAUAAUGAAAUAGGACGUUCGAUCCUAUUUUGUUGGUUUCUAGGAUUUGACGUAAUGAUUAAUAGGGAUAGUUGGGGGCAUUAGUAUUCAAUUGUCAGAGGUGAAAUUCUUGGAUUUAUUGAAGACUAACUACUGCGAAAGCAUUUGCCAAGGAUGUUUCAUUAAUCAAGAACGAAAGUUAGGGGAUCGAAGACGAUCAGAUACCGUCGUAGUCUUAACCAUAAACUAUGCCGACU
RNAcentral lists this ribosomal RNA (472 nucleotides) under Glomus sp. 11 FW-2016. Its description in RNAcentral is "SSU rRNA". It matches the Rfam family "Eukaryotic small subunit ribosomal RNA", at positions 569 to 1047 of the family's 1831-position model. Lineage: Eukaryota; Fungi; Glomeromycota; Glomeromycetes; Glomerales; Glomeraceae. The record is from RNAcentral.